Molecule: ribosomal RNA, 366 nt
Filed under: Triticum aestivum (bread wheat)
Lineage: Eukaryota; Viridiplantae; Streptophyta; Magnoliopsida; Poales; Poaceae
Description: partial small subunit ribosomal RNA
Source: RNAcentral
AUGGCACACACACAUACAUCAUACAUGGAUCAUCAAAUCCAAAAUGAAAUUGAUUUCCUGUCACAUUUCUUGGCAAAGAUAGAACUGGGCAUGAAAAGGAAGAAAUGCUUCAUAAGCAACUCAUUUUGUGUGAGCAUCACACAAACCUUCGUACAUAGUGACUUUUACAACCAAAUUAAGAGACAUAAGCAGCAGCAGCAGCAGCUGAAGAAGAAGAAGAGGACGUAUGGGGCGCAUCGAGUCGGGGUGGGGGUGGGGGGAUCUAGGCCCCGCCGCGGCGCUUGGCCUCCUCGGCCUGGACCAUGCGGCGGGAGGCGUCGGCGACGCGCUCCAGGGCCUGCUCGACGGCGUCGCGGCCGCCGAUGA